CCAAUCGAACUCGGAGAUAGCUGGUUCUCCCCGAAAUAGCUUUAGGGCUAGCCUCGAUUUAGAUUACCGGGGGUAGAGCACUGAAUGGGCUAGGGGGCCACAAAGCUUACCGAACCCUAUCAAACUUCGAAUACCGGAUAAUUGAUGAUCGGGAGUCAGACAGUGUGAGAUAAGUUUCAUUGUCGAAAGGGAAACAGCCCAGAUCUACGACUAAGGUCCCAAAGUUCAAGUUAAGUGGAAAAGGAUGUGCAAUUGCGUAGACAACCAGGAUGUUGGCUUAGUAGCAGCCAUUCAUUCAAAGAGUGCGUAAUAGCUCACUGGUCGAGUGAUUGUGCGCCGAAAAUGUAACGGGGCUAAACUUGACACCGAAGUCUAGGCAGAAGGAAACUUCUGGGUAGGGGAGCAACGUGUACGGGCAGAAGCAGAAGCGGAAGCGACUGUGGACUGUACAGGAGAGAGAAUGCCGGCAUGAGUAGCGAGAGCAAAGUGAGAAUCUUUGCCGUCGAAAGCCUAAGGUUUCCUGAGGAAGGCUCGUCCUCUCAGGGUAAGUCGGGACCUAAGCCGAGGACAAUAGUCGUAGGCGAUGGACAAUCGGUUAAUAUUCCGAUACCGCCGAGCAACCGGAUGCAGUGACACAGAAGGAUAGGCAGAGCGUGGCGAUGGUAGACCACGUCCAAGCAGUGAGGCUGUUGUGUAGUGAAGUACGCACAACGGAAGGCUGGGCUGUGAUGGGGAACGAUUACGAUCGGUAAGCUGCUGAAUUCACGCUGGCGAGAAAAGCUGCUACGAAGCGAAGGCGCCCGUACCGCAAACCGACACAGGUAGGCGAGGAGAGAAUCCUAAGACGAGCGGGAGAACCCUUGUUAAGGAACUCGGCAAAAUGACUCCGUAACUUAGGGAGAAGGAGUGCCCAGGAAUGGGCCGCAGAGAAUAGACCCAAGCGACUGUUUACCAAAAACACAGGUCUGUGCGAAGUAGAGAUACGACGUAUACGGGCUGACACCUGCCCAGUGCCGGAAGGUUAAGGGGAAAUGUUAGGGCAACCGAAGCAUGGAACUUAAGCCCCGGUGAACGGCGGCCGUAACUAUAACGGUCCUAAGGUAGCGAAAUUCCUUGUCGGGUAAGUUCCGACCCGCACGAAUGGUGUAACGAUUUGGGUACUGUCUCAACAAGGGACCCGGCGAAAUUGUAGUAUGUGUGAAGAUGCACAUUACCCGCGAUAGGACGGAAAGACCCCGUAGAGCUUUACUGUAGUUUAACAUUGGAUUCCGGUAACAUAUGCACAGGAUAGGUGGGAGGCGGAGAAGCAGUGAUUUCGGUUGCUGCAGAGCCGACGUUGGGAUACCACUCUUGUGUUACUGGGGUUCUAACCUGUGGCCGUGAUCCGGCACAGGAACAGUGUUAGAUGGGCAGUUUGACUGGGGCGGUCGCCUCCAAAAGAGUAACGGAGGCGUCCAAAGGUUCCCUCAGAAUGGUUGGAAACCAUUCGAAGAGUACAAAGGCAGAAGGGAGCCUGACUGCGAGACCGACAGGUCGAGCAGGGACGAAAGUCGGGCUUAGUGAUCCGGCGGUAUAGAGUGGAAUUGCCGUCGCUCAACGGAUAAAAGCUACCUCGGGGAUAACAGGCUUAUCUCCCCCAAGAGUCCACAUCGACGGGGAGGUUUGGCACCUCGAUGUCGGCUCG
RNAcentral lists this ribosomal RNA (1684 nucleotides) under human gut metagenome. RNAcentral describes it as "bacterial LSU rRNA". It matches the Rfam family "Bacterial large subunit ribosomal RNA", at positions 829 to 2539 of the family's 2925-position model. The record is from RNAcentral.